RNAcentral lists this long non-coding RNA (253 nucleotides) under Gossypium barbadense (sea-island cotton). RNAcentral describes it as "long non-coding RNA (GBAR_LNC001429)". Lineage: Eukaryota; Viridiplantae; Streptophyta; Magnoliopsida; Malvales; Malvaceae. The record is from RNAcentral.
AACGAUAAAAUGAAAGAAGUAAAAAAUAAAAAGAAACUAUUUUUUUUUGAGGAAGAUAAAAAAACUAAAAAGUCAAAGAGAACAAAAUGGUGAAGAGGGGAAGAAUAUGCAACUCUUUUUUUUAGGAUUUUCUAUUCUCCAAAAAUAAAAAAUAAAAUAGCUAAAAUAAAGAAAUAUUUUAGCAACUUAAAAAAAUCUAAAAUAAAAUUACUCCCUCAAACAUACACGAAGAUUCGAACUCAGAACCUAAAGG